GCAGUCGGACGAUGAAGCCCUUCGGGGUGGAUUAGUGGCGAACGGGUGAGUAACACGUGAGCAACCUGCCCUUGACUCUGGGAUAAGCCUGGGAAACUGGGUCUAAUACCGGAUACAACCUCCUGCCGCAUGGUGGGGGGUGGAAAGCCUUGUGCGGUCUUGGAUGGGCUCGCGGCCUAUCAGCUUGUUGGUGGGGUGAUGGCCUACCAAGGCGACGACGRGUAGCCGGCCUGAGAGGAGUGACMGGCCACACURGGACUGAGACACGGCCCAGACUCCUACGGGAGGCAGCAGUGGGGAAUAUUGCACAAUGRGCGGAAGCCUGAUGCAGCGACGCCGCGUGGGGGAUGACGGCCUUCGGGUUGUAAACCCCUUUCGGCAGGGAACAAGCCCCUUGGGGUGAGGGUACCUGCGGAAGAAGCGCCGGCUAACUACGUGCCAGCAGCCGCGGUAAUACGUAGGGCGCGAGCGUUAUCCGGAAUUAUUGGGCGUAAAGAGCUCGUAGGCGGUUUGUCGCGUCUGCUGUGAAAGCCCGGGGCUCAACCCCGGGUCUGCAGUGGGUACGGGCAGGCUGGAGUGCAGUAGGGGAGACUGGAAUUCCUGGUGUAGCGGUGAAAUGCGCAGAUAUCAGGAGGAACACCGAUGGCGAAGGCAGGUCUCUGGGCUGUAACUGACGCUGAGGAGCGAAAGCAUGGGGAGCGAACAGGAUUAGAUACCCUGGUAGUCCAUGCCGUAAACGUUGGGCACUAGGUGUGGGGGCCAUUCCACGGUUUCCGCGCCGCAGCUAACGCAUUAAGUGCCCCGCCUGGGGAGUACGGCCGCAAGGCUAAAACUCAAAGGAAUUGACGGGGGCCCGCACAAGCGGCGGAGCAUGCGGAUUAAUUCGAUGCAACGCGAAGAACCUUACCAAGGCUUGACAUGUGCCGGACCGUCCCAGAGAUGGGGCUUCCCUUCGGGGCCGGUUCACAGGUGGUGCAUGGUUGUCGUCAGCUCGUGUCGUGAGAUGUUGGGUUAAGUCCCGCAACGAGCGCAACCCUCGUUCCAUGUUGCCAGCACUUCGGGUGGGGACUCAUGGGAGACUGCCGGGGUCAACUCGGAGGAAGGUGGGGACGACGUCAAAUCAUCAUGCCCCUUAUGUCUUGGGCUUCACGCAUGCUACAAUGGCCGGUACAAAGGGUUGCGAUACUGUGAGGUGGAGCCAAUCCCAGAAAGCCGGUCUCAGUUCGGAUUGGGGUCUGCAACUCGACCCCAUGAAGUCGGAGUCGCUAGUAAUCGCAGAUCAGCAACGCUGCGGUGAAUACGUUCCCGGGCCUUGUACACACCGCCCGUCAAGUCACGAAAGUCGGUAACACCCGAAGCCGGUGGCCCAACC
Molecule: ribosomal RNA, 1372 nt
Filed under: Sinomonas sp. DSD39b
Lineage: Bacteria; Bacillati; Actinomycetota; Actinomycetes; Micrococcales; Micrococcaceae
Description: bacterial SSU rRNA
Rfam family: Bacterial small subunit ribosomal RNA
Source: RNAcentral